Molecule: long non-coding RNA, 440 nt
Organism: Arabidopsis thaliana (thale cress)
Lineage: Eukaryota; Viridiplantae; Streptophyta; Magnoliopsida; Brassicales; Brassicaceae
Product: other RNA
Exons: 1
Source: RefSeq
GACGAAGAUCCACGUUGACGAAGAGAAGGUCGAUCCGACGGCUUAGAUGACUCGUUGGCAGCAGAUCCCGGCGAAUCCUCCUCCGCCGCUGGUUCAUCCGAUUGCUUCUUCAGAUCCGAAACAAGACCAUCGAUCGGAAGAUUUGGAUCAAGACGACGAGCUUUCUCAAGAAAUUUCAAAGCGCGAGAUCUAUCUCCUGCUUCUAUAGCAUCCUUGCCGAUUUUUAGGCAUUUCAACGCGUCAUCUUUGUUACCAUCCAUUGUGAUUGUUCAACGGAAAAACAAUUUCCCGAUGAUGCUAUCGGAAACUCCCGAGGAAUUAGAGUUUCUCGAAGCGAUUGGAGUUCAUCUAAGAUGUGAGGACUUUCCCAAACGAGCGACGAUUGAAAAAUAUCGCCUCCUCUUCCACAAUCCGCACACAGCUUUCAAGCCUUUCUACAG